GACGAACGCUGGCGGCGUGCUUAACACAUGCCAGUCGAACGGAAAGGCCCUGCUUUUGUGGGGUGCUCGAGUGGCGAACGGGUGAGUAACACGUGAGUAACCUGCCCUUGACUUUGGGAUAACUUCAGGAAACUGGGGCUAAUACCGGAUAGGAGCUCCUGCUGCAUGGUGGGGGUUGGAAAGUUUCGGCGGUUGGGGAUGGACUCGCGGCUUAUCAGCUUGUUGGUGGGGUAGUGGCUUACCAAGGCUUUGACGGGUAGCCGGCCUGAGAGGGUGACCGGCGACAUUGGGACUGAGAUACGGAGCAGACUCCUACGGGAGGCAGCAGUGGGGAGUAUUGCACAAUGAGCGGAAGCCUGAUGCAGCAACGCCGCGUGCGGGAUGACGGCCUUCGGGUUGUAAACCGCUUUCGCCUGUGACGAAGCGUGAGUGACGGUAAUGGGUAAAGAAGCACCGGCUAACUACGUG
Molecule: ribosomal RNA, 468 nt
Filed under: uncultured bacterium
Lineage: Bacteria
Description: partial 16S ribosomal RNA
Rfam family: Bacterial small subunit ribosomal RNA
Source: RNAcentral